CCAUUUUGCUUUUCCCCUCACCAGGAGCUGUGUUGGGUGCUCUGGGAUAGACUGGAGAGCUGCCUGCCCUGUCUUGUUUGCAGUGACGCAGCCAGGAAUGCUAUUGCUGUGAACUCACAUUUGGCAUGUGCUUCCAAGAACGCCCUUUGGAGACCGAAGGGUCAAAUGCACCACCUCAGCGUGUCAUGAUGGGAAGAGGCAUCCUCGUGGCAAGGAAAAGCGCAGCACAGAGCCUACAUGCAUGCUUUGGGCUUAUAACGGGUUCUGGAGACACAGGAAGGUGAAUGGACUGGUCUAAAGUCAUACAACACAGGAAAAGUAGGAACAGAGGCCAGGUUUCCAGGCUUCAAGUCAUGUACCUUAACCACUAAAAAACUUCAUUUCCUUGAAUUAA
Oxyura jamaicensis (ruddy duck) is the source of this 394-nucleotide long non-coding RNA. RefSeq lists it as uncharacterized. The record is from RefSeq and is a predicted model, not a curated record. The transcript has 3 exons. Lineage: Eukaryota; Metazoa; Chordata; Aves; Anseriformes; Anatidae.